ACGUGAUCUGAGUUCAGACCGGAGUAAUCCAGGUCAGUUUCUAUCUAUAAAGGACUUUUUUUAGUACGAAAGGACCAAAAAAGUAUGGCCAAUACUAAAAGCAAGCCAUAAAAUUAAUUUAUGACCUCAACUCAAUAAACAAGCAACCUACAAUUCAAGCUCUAAAAAAGAGCA
This 174-nucleotide ribosomal RNA is filed under the name Nesorohyla kanaima (Kanaima treefrog). RNAcentral's name for it is "partial 16S ribosomal RNA". Lineage: Eukaryota; Metazoa; Chordata; Amphibia; Anura; Hylidae. The record is from RNAcentral.